This 127-nucleotide small RNA is filed under the name Marmota monax (woodchuck). Lineage: Eukaryota; Metazoa; Chordata; Mammalia; Rodentia; Sciuridae. The record is from RNAcentral.
GCAGGGCAUGGUGGCACAUGCCUGUAAUCCCAGCAGCUAAGGAGGCUGAGGCAGGAGAAUAGUGAGUUCAAAGCCAGCCUUAGCAACUUAAUGAGGCCCUAAGCAGCUUAAUGAGACCCUGUCUCAA